RNAcentral lists this ribosomal RNA (236 nucleotides) under uncultured bacterium. RNAcentral's name for it is "partial 16S ribosomal RNA". It matches the Rfam family "Bacterial small subunit ribosomal RNA", at positions 114 to 334 of the family's 1533-position model. The record is from RNAcentral.
CGCGUGGGUAAUCUACCUUCGAAUUGGGGAUAACGUUGCGAAAGCGACGCUAAUACCGAAUAACAUCCAUUAAUCUUCGGGUUUUUGGAUCAAGGGUGGCCUCUACAUGUAAGCUACUGUUUGAAGAUGAGCCCGCGUACCAUUAGCUUGUUGGUGGGGUAAAGGCCUACCAAGGCAACGAUGGUUAGCUGGUCUGAGAGGAUGAUCAGCCACACUGGAACUGACACACGGUCCAG